GAUGAACGCUAGCGGCAGGCCUAACACAUGCAAGUCGAGGGAGGAGCUUUCGGGCUUCGACCGGCGUACGGGUGCGUAACGCGUAUACAAUCUGCCUUUCACAUAGGGAUAGCCCGAAGAAAUUUGGAUUAAUACCUAAUGGUAUAUAGAGGUGGCAUCACCUUUAUAUUAAAGCUGAGGCGGUGAAAGAUGAGUAUGCGUUCUAUUAGCUAGUUGGAGAGGUAACGGCUCCCCAAGGCGACGAUAGAUAGGGGUUCUGAGAGGGAUAUCCCCCACACUGGUACUGAGAUACGGACCAGACUCCUACGGGAGGCAGCAGUGAGGAAUAUUAGACAAUGGUCGGAAGACUGAUCCAGCCAUGCCGCGUGCAGGAAGACGGCCUUAUGGGUUGUAAACUGCUUUUGCAGGGGAAGAAUAAGGACUACGCGUAGUUUGAUGACGGUACUCUGCGAAUAAGCAUCGGCUAACUCCGU
This 473-nucleotide ribosomal RNA is filed under the name uncultured bacterium. Its description in RNAcentral is "partial 16S ribosomal RNA". It matches the Rfam family "Bacterial small subunit ribosomal RNA", at positions 28 to 506 of the family's 1533-position model. The record is from RNAcentral.